Molecule: ribosomal RNA, 517 nt
Filed under: uncultured Staphylococcus sp.
Lineage: Bacteria; Bacillati; Bacillota; Bacilli; Caryophanales; Staphylococcaceae
Description: bacterial SSU rRNA
Rfam family: Bacterial small subunit ribosomal RNA
Source: RNAcentral
AGAGUUUGAUCCUGGCUCAGGAUGAACGCUGGCGGCGUGCCUAAUACAUGCAAGUCGAGCGAACAGAUAAGGAGCUUGCUCCUUUGAAGUUAGCGGCGGACGGGUGAGUAACACGUGGGUAACCUACCUAUAAGACUGGGAUAACUUCGGGAAACCGGAGCUAAUACCGGAUAACAUUUAGAACCGCAUGGUUCUAAAGUGAAAGAUGGUUUUGCUAUCACUUAUAGAUGGACCCGCGCCGUAUUAGCUAGUUGGUAAGGUAACGGCUUACCAAGGCGACGAUACGUAGCCGACCUGAGAGGGUGAUCGGCCACACUGGAACUGAGACACGGUCCAGACUCCUACGGGAGGCAGCAGUAGGGAACCUUCCGCAAUGGGCGAAAGCCUGACGGAGCAACGCCGCGUGAGUGAUGAAGGGUUUCGGCUCGUAAAACUCUGUUAUUAGGGAAGAACAAAUGUGUAAGUAACUGUGCACAUCUUGACGGUACCUAAUCAGAAAGCCACGGCUAACUACGUG